CAAGAUAAUAAACAAAAACAGCAAAAUUUCCUUAAAAUUACCAAUUCAGGGGCAGCAACCCAACAACAGGUUGUCUGAUUCAUCUGAAAAUUUCAGGGCAGAUAGAUCUUGACCUGAUAAACAAUAUUACCCCAUGUCAGAUUUGCUCUAAAUGCUUUGGUUUUUGAGUUAUAAGCCAAAAACUGCAUUUGACCCCUAUGUUCUAUUUUUAGCAAUGGCGACCAUGUUUGUUGAUAGAUCAUAACUUCAGAUACAAUUUACAAACUAGAUACCCUAAGGAACAUUCAAUUAAAGUUUGGAAGUAUUUGGCCCAGUAGUUUCAGAGGAGAAGAUUCUUGAAAUAGUUUACGACGACAGACGACGACAGACGACGGACGACGACGGACGCCAAGUGAUGGCAUAAGCUCACUUGUCCCUUCGGGACAGGUGAGCUAAAAAGGGU
Molecule: long non-coding RNA, 442 nt
Filed under: Mytilus galloprovincialis (Mediterranean mussel)
Lineage: Eukaryota; Metazoa; Mollusca; Bivalvia; Mytilida; Mytilidae
Source: RNAcentral